UCCCUGGUGGUCUAGCAGCUAAGGAUCCUGCAUGCUCUCUGCUGCAGCCCAGGUUUGAUUCCUGGCCAGGGAA
This is a non-coding RNA of Pangasianodon gigas (Mekong giant catfish), 73 nucleotides long. NCBI's taxonomy places the organism in Eukaryota, Metazoa, Chordata, Actinopteri, Siluriformes, Pangasiidae. The record is from the annotation of a GenBank genome assembly.